GCUGUUAAGGAUAAUUUUUUUGUUCUCUACAUGUAAAAAUAUGUAUUUUAAAAAAUUGGAUGUCAUGGGCUGGGUGUGGUGGCUCAUGCCUGUAAUCCCAGCACUUUGGGAGGCCGAGGCGGGCGGAUCUCCUGAGGUCGGGAGUUCGAGACCAGCCUGACCAACAUGGAGAAACCCCAUCUCUACUAAAAACACAAAAUUAUCCAGGCAUGGUGGCACAUGACUGUAAUCCCAGCUACUAGGGAGGCUGAGGCAGGAGAAUCACUUGAACCUGGGAGGCGGAGGUUGAGGUGAGCCGAGAUCACGCCAUUGCACUCCAGCCUGGGCAACAAGAGUGAAACUCGGUCUCAAAAAAAAAAAAAACAUUGGAUGUUAUGGAAUGAGGGAGACAAAAAAUGCUCUACGACUAUUAACUGAUGCUUUUCUGGUUUUGUUCUCCAGACAUCAUUUGCUUUUCACUCAAGAUGAUUUGAUGUCUUAUAAAACUCUGAUGAACCAUGAUGGCUACACAGACAUUAAGUAUAGACAGCUAUCAAGAUGGGCAACAGAUGCAAGUAGUAACAGAGUUAAAGA
Molecule: small RNA, 573 nt
Filed under: Pan troglodytes (chimpanzee)
Lineage: Eukaryota; Metazoa; Chordata; Mammalia; Primates; Hominidae
Description: retained intron
Source: RNAcentral